UAAACCGGAGGAAGGUGGGGAUGACGUCAAGUCCUCAUGGCCUUACAUCCCGGGCUACACACGUGCUACAAUGGCAGGUACAGAGGGCUGCAAAGCCGCGAGGUAGAGCGAAUCCCAGAAAACCUGUCUCAGUCCGGAUUGAAGUCUGCAACUCGACUUCAUGAAGGCGGAAUCGCUAGUAACCGCGAAUCAGCAGGUCGCGGUGAAUACGUUCCCGGGCCUU
RNAcentral lists this ribosomal RNA (223 nucleotides) under uncultured Latescibacterota bacterium. RNAcentral's name for it is "uncultured Latescibacteria bacterium partial 16S ribosomal RNA". It matches the Rfam family "Bacterial small subunit ribosomal RNA", at positions 1159 to 1382 of the family's 1533-position model. Lineage: Bacteria; Pseudomonadati; Candidatus Latescibacterota. The record is from RNAcentral.